AUUCUGGCUCAGGAUGAACGCUAGCGGCAGGCUUAACACAUGCAAGUCGAGGGGCAUCGGGAGUAGCAAUACUGCCGGCGACCGGCGCAAGGGUGCGUAACGCGUGAGCAACAUGCCCGUAUCAGGGGGGAUAAUCCAUGGAAACGUGGUCUAAUACCCCAUAGUAAUUAUGUAAGGCAUCUUAUAUAAUUUAAAGCUUUGGUGGAUACGGAUUGGCUCGCGUGACAUUAGCUGGAUGGUAAGGUAACGGCUUACCAUGGCUACGAUGUCUAGGGGUUCUGAGAGGAACGGUCCCCCACACUGGAACUGAGACACGGUCCAGACUCCUACGGGAGGCAGCAGUGAGGAAUAUUGGACAAUGGAUGGAAAUCUGAUCCAGCCAUGCCGCGUGCAAGGAAGACCGGCCCUAUGGGUUGUAAACUGUCUUUUGUAUGGGAGCAAUAAGGGCUACGUGUAGUCCGAUGAGAGUACCAUACGAAUAAGCACCGGCUAACUCCGUGCCAGCAGCUGC
Molecule: ribosomal RNA, 511 nt
Filed under: uncultured bacterium
Lineage: Bacteria
Description: bacterial SSU rRNA
Rfam family: Bacterial small subunit ribosomal RNA
Source: RNAcentral